Molecule: transfer-messenger RNA, 367 nt
Filed under: Kordiimonadaceae bacterium
Lineage: Bacteria; Pseudomonadati; Pseudomonadota; Alphaproteobacteria; Kordiimonadales; Kordiimonadaceae
Rfam family: Alphaproteobacteria transfer-messenger RNA
About the family: Bacterial tmRNA, also known as 10Sa RNA or SsrA, is named for its dual tRNA and mRNA-like properties. Its role is to liberate the mRNA from a stalled ribosome.
Source: RNAcentral
CAUCUUCUCAUUUCGGUACGGAAGACUUAUAUACGCACUGCUGGCUUGCCAGCUAUGGCGAUAAAGGACGCAGUGAGUACGUAUUGCGGACCCGGGGGCAGUGCCCGGCGCCUCCACCAGGAACCACCGGACAUAAGCCGAUGGUUGCUGAUGGGGGCGAACCAGGAUCGACGUGUAUCGAAAGUUGUCUGUCUUUCGCUCGGGAUGGCACCGCCGUGAUGGGCCACCUUAAAAUAAAUGCUAACGACAAUGACGUCGAGUUCGCUGUUGCUGCGUAAGCGGUCAUAGCAAACUACAUUUAUCUGAAUUCCUGAGAGUUGACACUUUCAGGUGGGGGUUGGGCCACCUAGCAACAGAACGGCCCAUU